GAUGAACGCUGGCGGCGUGCCUAAUACAUGCAAGUCGAGCGAACAGACGAGGAGCUUGCUCCUCUGACGUUAGCGGCGGACGGGUGAGUAACACGUGGAUAACCUACCUAUAAGACUGGGAUAACUUCGGGAAACCGGAGCUAAUACCGGAUAAUAUAUUGAACCGCAUGGUUCAAUAGUGAAAGACGGUUUUGCUGUCACUUAUAGAUGUAUCCGCGCCGCAUUAGCUAGUUGGCAAGGUAACGGCUUACCAAGGCAACGAUGCGUAGCCGACCUGAGAGGGUGAUCGGCCACACUGGAACUGAGACACGGUCCAGACUCCUACGGGAGGCAGCAGUAGGGAAUCUUCCGCAAUGGGCGAAAGCCUGACGGAGCAACGCCGCGUGAGUGAUGAAGGUCUUCGGAUCGUAAAACUCUGUUAUUAGGGAAGAACAAAUGUGUAAGUAACUAUGCACGUCUUGACGGUACCUAAUCAGAAAGCCACGGCUAACUACGUG
RNAcentral lists this ribosomal RNA (497 nucleotides) under uncultured bacterium. RNAcentral's name for it is "partial 16S ribosomal RNA". It matches the Rfam family "Bacterial small subunit ribosomal RNA", at positions 28 to 507 of the family's 1533-position model. The record is from RNAcentral.